CACCUAAAAACCAUGCCUCGUCCUUCCUCUGUUUUCUGGCCAUGUUGAGAUGUCACGUGGCGAACUAGCUUCCAUAGUGGGCAUUUUGAACCAUGCAUGUAAACGGACAGGCUUUGUAACAAGGCAGCACUUCAUAGUCCUCUUUUGUAUACGCACUUCUUCUUUCCACAGAUUAGUAUGAUUAACAAUGUUGGUUUUGCUUAUUUGAUAAAUUAGCAAGAAGAACCAGGGACAAUUUAGAUGAUAUUCAUGUGUGUAUUGAAGAUACUUGUUAUGAAAUGUACACAAACAUUUCAUUCACAUGUAGUCUCUUAUGAAUGAGUCCAGAUUUUAAAAAUCCAAAUAAUAAAACUUCAGCUGCUUGAAAAAAUA
Long non-coding RNA from Chrysemys picta bellii (western painted turtle), 372 nucleotides. RefSeq lists it as uncharacterized. The record is from RefSeq and is a predicted model, not a curated record. Lineage: Eukaryota; Metazoa; Chordata; Testudines; Emydidae.